CCAUCAAAACCCUCACGACCAAAGUAUCCCGGCGUCUCAUCUCCAAUUCCAAAUUCCUCUUGCUCCGAAACAGAGAAAGGGAUGGCUUGGCGCAGCGGAUCGCUUUCGAGAUCGUUGAUGUCUGCUGCAAGAGCUUCUUCACUCCGGUCUACACCGUCUCUCCCACGCCUCCGUCCUCCAUCACUUGCCGCCCCUCGCCUUCAAUCUCGUCGAUUUUCCUUGUCUACCAGGACUAUGGGAGAGUUAGGAUGCACGCAAUCGCUACUGCCGCUGCACAGUGUGGUCGCUGCAGCCCGCCUCACAUCGCAUCUCGCUGUCAAUGCGCGUGCAUGCUGUGAGCUGUCUCAGGGGAGGAGUGGAAAAGAUGGGUGAUUGGCGAGGCUGUCAAGCAUCGGAAGACAGGACAAUAAGGCCAUAUCGUAGGUACUUGAAUGGGCUGGGCUGUCUGAUCAGCACAGUGAGUGCUAAUAUGUUUUUGGGCAGUAAUAGAUUGUUGAAUCGUGUGGAAGCUUCUCCUUUAUAGUUGGUGAAAUUAGUGACUUUUGCAUCUUUUUUUUUUAUGGGGGGAAAAACUUGGAAUUUCCCAUUUUUCUGUACGGUGUGGGAACCAUUUAGAAUUUAUAGGUGAACACUUUUGAGUCUGAUGUGUCUUCAAAGCAUU
Molecule: RNA transcript, 661 nt
Organism: Telopea speciosissima
Lineage: Eukaryota; Viridiplantae; Streptophyta; Magnoliopsida; Proteales; Proteaceae
Gene name: protein NONRESPONDING TO OXYLIPINS 2, mitochondrial-like
Exons: 4
Source: RefSeq, a predicted model, not a curated record